GAUGAACGCUGGCGGCGUGCCUAAUACAUGCAAGUCGAGCGAACGGACGAGAAGCUUGCUUCUCUGCUGUUAGCGGCGGACGGGUGAGUAACACGUGGAUCACCUACCUAUAAGACUGGGAUAACUUCGGGAAACCGGUGCUACUACUGGAUAAUAUUUUGAACGGCUUGGUUCAAAAGUGAAAGACGGUUUUGCUGUCACUUAUAGAUGGUUCCGCGCUGCAUUAGCUAGUUGGUAAGGUAACGGCUUACCAAGGCAACGAUGCGUAGCCGGCCUGAGAGGGUGAUCAGCCACACUGGAACUGAGACACGGUCCAGACUCCUACGGGAGGCAGCAGUAGGGAAUCUUCCGCAAUGGGCGAAAGCCUGACGGAGCAACGCCGCGUGAGUGAUGAAGGUCUUCGGAUCGUAAAACUCUGUUAUUAGGGAAGAACAGAUGUAGAAGUAACUGUGGACAUCUUGACGGUACCUAAACAGAAAGCCACGGCUAACUUCGUG
RNAcentral lists this ribosomal RNA (497 nucleotides) under uncultured bacterium. RNAcentral describes it as "partial 16S ribosomal RNA". It matches the Rfam family "Bacterial small subunit ribosomal RNA", at positions 28 to 507 of the family's 1533-position model. The record is from RNAcentral.